Molecule: long non-coding RNA, 761 nt
Organism: Panicum virgatum (switchgrass)
Lineage: Eukaryota; Viridiplantae; Streptophyta; Magnoliopsida; Poales; Poaceae
Exons: 3
Source: RefSeq, a predicted model, not a curated record
AGUCCUUUGUUUUGUUUUUUUCUUGCUCGAUCCAUACUCCUGUUAAGUUCGUCAAUUACCAUCAACAUCCACACUUUCUGCUUUCAGUGCAACUGUUUUCAGCAAAUAAAAAUGUAUUAUUAUCCUGCCUAUUGUUAGGUACUGAAUCCAGGAACUCAGAAGUCACACAUCACAAGUAGGAAAUAAACGUAAUUAGAGUUGAUUCGUCCGAGCUAGAGGCUAUGGUAUGUUCAUCUUGAGGAACUAAUCAGCCAUCUGUUCGAGAUCCUCAUCUGCUCCUUUGUGAAUCGAGGCUAUGGAACAAGAAGGCUAGACGAGACUGUUUGCGGCCACAGUUGUGCAGCUCAAAGACUAAAAGGCUAAAGAGCUCAGCUUCAGGCUAGCAGUCUACCUGUUUUCCCAGGAUUUUUGGGCAAGGAGACACUUUCAAAAUAAAUGAUGGCCAGUAUCGAAGGUGCUGCUGUGUCUGCAAUUUUGAAAAUUUUGGCAAACAAGUUAGCUCCAUUGAUGAUGAAGCAGUACAGCUCUAUAGUGGGUGUGACAAAGGAUCUCCAGGAUCUCAAGGGUCGAUUUGAGGAUAUCAGCUCCUGGCUAGAAAAAGCAGGAUGUAAAACUACGGAUAAUGAUCAAUUUUUCAUCAGACAAUUGAAACACGUCGCAUACGACGUUGAUGAUAUUGUUGAUGAGUUCCAUCUAGAGGCUGAGAAGCACGAAGCUGAAGUUGCCAACAAUAUUGUGUCAAAAUGUCUCUGCACAAAACC